UGCAGAAUCCCGUGAGCCACCGAGCCUUUGAACGCAAGUUGCGCCCGAGGCCAUCUGGCCGAGGGCACGCCCGAUUGGGCAUCGCGUAUCGUGGUGC
Molecule: ribosomal RNA, 97 nt
Filed under: Spathanthus unilateralis
Lineage: Eukaryota; Viridiplantae; Streptophyta; Magnoliopsida; Poales; Rapateaceae
Description: partial 5.8 ribosomal RNA
Rfam family: 5.8S ribosomal RNA (bases 1-84)
About the family: 5.8S ribosomal RNA (5.8S rRNA) is a component of the large subunit of the eukaryotic ribosome. It is transcribed by RNA polymerase I as part of the 45S precursor that also contains 18S and 28S rRNA. Functionally, it is thought that 5.8S rRNA may be involved in ribosome translocation.
Source: RNAcentral